UACUGGAAACGGUAGCUAAUACCGCAUAACGUCGCAAGACCAAAGAGGGGGACCUUCGGGCCUCUUGCCAUCGGAUGUGCCCAGAUGGGAUUAGCUAGUAGGUGGGGUAACGGCUCACCUAGGCGACGAUCCCUAGCUGGUCUGAGAGGAUGACCAGCCACACUGGAACUGAGACACGGUCCAGACUCCUACGGGAGGCAGCAGUGGGGAAUAUUGCACAAUGGGCGCAAGCCUGAUGCAGCCAUGCCGCGUGUAUGAAGAAGGCCUUCGGGUUGUAAAGUACUUUCAGCGGGGAGGAAGGGAGUAAAGUUAAUACCUUUGCUCAUUGACGUUACCCGCAGAAGAAGCACCGGCUAACUCCGUGCCAGCAGCCGCGGUAAUACGGAGGGUGCAAGCGUUAAUCGGAAUUACUGGGCGUAAAGCGCACGCAGGCGGUUUGUUAAGUCAGAUGUGAAAUCCCCGGGCUCAACCUGGGAACUGCAUCUGAUACUGGCAAGCUUGAGUCUCGUAGAGGGGGGUAGAAUUCCAGGUGUAGCGGUGAAAUGCGUAGAGAUCUGGAGGAAUACCGGUGGCGAAGGCGGCCCCCUGGACGAAGACUGACGCUCAGGUGCGAAAGCGUGGGGAGCAAACAGGAUU
RNAcentral lists this ribosomal RNA (636 nucleotides) under Shigella flexneri. Its description in RNAcentral is "bacterial SSU rRNA". It matches the Rfam family "Bacterial small subunit ribosomal RNA", at positions 148 to 779 of the family's 1533-position model. The record is from RNAcentral. Lineage: Bacteria; Pseudomonadati; Pseudomonadota; Gammaproteobacteria; Enterobacterales; Enterobacteriaceae.